UUUGUUUCUAGUUCUAUUUACUUCUAUAUUCCCCUCUCUUUCGAGCCUUCUUUACAUUAAGAAAUACAAAAAAGGAAAGGCCAUUACCACUCUCCCUUGCUCGCUCGCUUAUUCUUGACAAUGAAUUUUGGAAGUGGGAGUUCAAGCGACAGCCUCCCUCUUCUGGAUGGUUCUCAGCAGGGAAGUGCUGAUAACAAAAUGGAGCCCAGUGCAGUUUCUGAUAACAAAAUGGAGUCCAGUGCAAUUGCUGGGGCACCAAGUGAUGUUGGUUUUGUUUCUUCUUUUACACCACCAAACAUGAUUAAUUUUGUUUCAUCUGGCCAAUUUCAAAGUCAACAAAUUCCAAAUCCUUCUAGAAGGUUUCAGCAACGAUCUUUUAGCAAACAAUUUGAGCCACAGAGGUUUCAACACUGCCAGCAGUCAAUGCAGCAGCACCCUGUUUUCCAUACCCAAUCACAGCAGCAACAGCUGCAAUUCCAAUCCUUUCAAGGUGGCUCUGAAAGUUUUGCUGGUUCUGUCAACUUGGGGCGAGGGCUAAUAAAUUCAAACAUCAGCCUUUCUAGUUUGGAUGGUUCUCAGCAGGGAAGGUUUGAUACCGCAAUGGAGCCUAGUGCAGUUUUUAUGGCAUCAAAUGAUGUUGGUUCUGUUUCUCCUUUUACCCCAACACACAUGAUGGAUUUUAUUUCAUCUGGGGAAUUUGAAAGCCAAAAAAUUCCAAAUCCUUCUAGAAGCUCUCAGCAACAGUCUCAUGUACAACAAUUUAAGUGCCAGAGGUUUCAACAUGGUCGGCAAUCAAUGCAGCAAUUCCACGUUUCCCCGAGCCAACCGCAUCGGCAACAACCACAAUCCCUAUCCAUUGAAGGUGGAUUUGAAGGCUUUGCAGGCUCUGCCAACUUGGAACGAGGGGUAAUAGGUGAUCAGAUUGGUCUACAGACGCAGUUGCACUCAGGUCCAGUGGUGCAAGAGCUGCAACAAAACCAGACUGGAAGAGGCAUAGGACGUGUACAACUUGAGAAUCAGGAUUCUAAAGAAGCACCAUACCUGCAGCAGCAGCAACACCAUUUCCCUCAAAUUUCCAGAGAGUUUGUUUCACAGUUGAACCCUUUACAACAGAAGCACAAUUUGCAGCAACAGCAGCUGCAACAGCAAAUGCUGAGGGCACUUCAUCAACAACAGCCUCAACUACAUCAGCAAUCUCAACAGCAGAAUGUGUCUUUUAAAUCUGCUGUGAGACCAGUCUAUGAACAGGGGAAAUGUUCACUUCAAUUAAUUAAGUACAUGCAUCAGCAGCAGCAUAGACCAAUUGAUAAUAAUAUGGAGUUCUGGCACAAAUUUGUUUUAGAGUUUUUUACUCACAAUGCUAGAAAGAGAUUGUGUGUUUCAAAGUAUCAAAAUAGGAACCCACCUGCUGUGUAUGAUAAGGAUUCAUGGGAUUGUGAAUUAUGCAAUCAGAAGCAUGUCCAUGGUUAUGAAGCAACUGCUACAUCUCUGCCUAGUUUAUUCCAAAUCAAGUAUGAAAGUCCCACUAUGGAAGAGCUUCUUUUUGUUGAUAUACCUCAUGAAUCUCAGAACUCAAGUGGUCAGAUUGUACUUCGUUAUCCAAGGGCAAUAGAAGAAAGUGUUUUUGAGAAUGUUCGUGUUGUACGUUAUGGUCAACUUCGUAUUGUUUUCUCUAGAGAUCUGAAGAUCUGCUCUUGGGAAUUUUGUUUACAAAAUCAUGACGAACUUUUUCCACGAAGACUGAUAAAACCUCAGGCAAUUGAGCUUGUAGCUAAGGCGCAAAAAUACCAAGCUUCUGCUCAAAAUGCACAAUCCAUCCCAUCCCAAUAUGACUUAGAAAGUAAUUUUAAUAUGUUUCUUGAAUCUGCACGUCAAUUAAACAAAUCUUUGGGGAUACCUAAACAUACUAAUAUAGGAUAUACAAAGAGAUAUAUGCAGCACUUACAGCAAAUAUCACAAAGAGUUAAUAGCAUGAAGGAAGACUUCAGCUGUGAGAUUGGGAAAGGACCGAAAGAGAGUUUCACCCAGCUUUCCAGUGGGAGUAUGCCAUUAUCAGAGCUGCAUUUUCCUAUUCAGCUACCUGAUCAACAACAAACUGGGGGGAACACCUUGAACAAUGAUAACCAUUCUGUACAGAGAAAUAUCGAGCCACCUUCUACAAGCAGUGACAUUGCAAGUGCAGGCAACUCCUAUAGUACCACUCCCUCUGUCACUGCUGGUGCUGAGCUUCUCCAUCAGAAUUCAAUGGACUUGCGGAUUGAGAAUCCACAUAACAAUCCUGGCAGUCCUUAUCCUGGGACAUAUGGGUUCUUCAACCACUUCACAAGCUGAGCAUGAUCCUUCUUCAUUCUCAUCAUCAACGCCAUCUUCUACAACUCCAAAGAAAUAAUGAUUUCUUCACAAUAAAGUGGGGGAGGUAUCAUGGUGAGUGUUCUGAAGGGGAUAUUGUGACUAACAUGAUGAAACAUAAAAAUGUUAAUGGUAAUUGCUUUGCAGGCAGGAUACGGUAGUCUUAAAUUGAAGUACUAUGGUGAUGGGGGGUCAUGGAAAUUGGGUGCUCUGCCGUUUCACUAGUCAGUUACUUGGUAUACUUAUUAUUGAGACGACGUUUGCAAGCAGUUGAGGAGGAGAUCAGAGUUACAGUUCAGGUUCAUAGAGCUAACGUGAUAGAGAACCACAACCCCUAGGCCGAUGACGAUUAGAGGACGAGGUACGAGUUUGCUCGACCAUCUUUGGAUGGGACGCAAAUUAGUAUAGUCAGACCUCCUGUAGCGGCCAACAAUUUUGAGAUAAAGACUAAUGUUAUCCAGAUGAUCCAGCAGAGUGUGUAGUUCGGAGGGUUGCCCAACGAGGAUCCCAAUGCACAUAUCGCCAACUUUUUGGAGAUUUGUGACAUAUUCAAGAUAAAUGGAACAACCGAUGACGCCAUUCAGCUGAGAUUAUUUCCAUUUUCCUUGAGGGACAGAGCAAAGAGAUGGUUGUAAUCUCUUCCACAGCAGACGAUUACUACCUGGACGGCGUUGGCAGAAAAAUUUUCUUUAUAAGUAUUUUUCUCCUGCUAAAACUGCUAAACUUAGAAAUGACAUAUCUUCUUUUGUGCAGUUUGAUGAUGAGAGCAUGUACGAUGCAUGAGAAAGGUUUAAGGAUCUUUGAGAUACUGCCCACAUCACGGAUUGCCAGUGUGGAUACAGGUUUAGACCUUCUACAGCGGGUUGAACCUUGCGAUGAGGCAGAUGGUGGAUGCUGCAACAGGUGGGGCGCUAAAUAGUAAGACGCCCGAGCAGGCUUAGAACUUGAUAGAGGAAAUGCCCAUGAACAAUUAUCAGUGGCAAUCCUUUAGGAGCCGACUAGGAAGACAGGGAGUGGUCAACUAAGUGGAUUCU
RNA transcript from Ricinus communis (castor bean), 3383 nucleotides. It is a transcript of the gene named transcriptional corepressor SEUSS, with no coding region annotated. NCBI's taxonomy places the organism in Eukaryota, Viridiplantae, Streptophyta, Magnoliopsida, Malpighiales, Euphorbiaceae. The record is from RefSeq and is a predicted model, not a curated record. The transcript is spliced from 11 exons.